UGACCAGCUGCCAGAAUCGUUAAAGCGUAAGUAGGUGAAAUUCCUGGUAGUAUUUCUUCCAGCUCGUUAAAUUCUGGGUUCAAAUCCGGCCGAGGUCAAUUUUGCCUUUAACUUUACCGGGGUCGAUGAAACAAAGAACCAGUUUAAUACUAGCGACAAUGUUAUCGAUUAAUCUGUAGCCCUUGAGCUUAAAUUAAAAACAGUUGUGUUAUUCCCCAGUUUUAUACUAUGUUCAAAAUAAAACCUUAAAUUUCGAGAAAAAUUUCAAUAAUCAGAAGUAAAAUCAGAUUGUAAGGGUAGAUAACUCUAGGUGCUAGAGGUCACGUUUCUACAAGAAAGGAAAUAUGUCGGCAACUAAUUUAUCUGAUGAAACUCAACAACGUAAUGUAAAGGAUUUCUUGUUACUGUAUAACAAACUCACUGAGCAAUGUUUUCAGAAUUGUGUAUCAAUAUUUUUUGAG
This is a long non-coding RNA of Octopus bimaculoides (California two-spot octopus), 461 nucleotides long. The record is from RefSeq and is a predicted model, not a curated record. Lineage: Eukaryota; Metazoa; Mollusca; Cephalopoda; Octopoda; Octopodidae.